GCCAGGUGUGGUGGUGCACACCUGUAAUCCCAGUGGCUCGGGAGGCUGAAACAGGAGGAUCACAAGUUGAAAGCCAGCCUCAGAAAAAGUGAGGCACUGAGCAACUCAGUGAGACCCUGUCUCUA
RNAcentral lists this small RNA (125 nucleotides) under Marmota monax (woodchuck). The record is from RNAcentral. Lineage: Eukaryota; Metazoa; Chordata; Mammalia; Rodentia; Sciuridae.